CAGCCGCCGCGGUAAUACGUAGGGUGCGAGCGUUAAUCGGAAUUACUGGGCGUAAAGCGUGCGUAGGCGGUUUGUUAAGUCUGUUGUGAAAUCCCCGGGCUCAACCUGGGAAUGGCAAUGGAUACUGGCAAGCUAGAGUGUGUCAGAGGAUGGUGGAAUUCCCGGUGUAGCGGUGAAAUGCGUAGAGAUCGGGAGGAACAUCAGUGGCGAAGGCGGCCAUCUGGGACAACACUGACGCUGAGGCACGAAAGCGUGGGGAGCAAACAGGAUUAGAUACCCGCGUAGUCCCUGUCUCUUAUAC
Molecule: ribosomal RNA, 301 nt
Filed under: uncultured bacterium
Lineage: Bacteria
Description: partial 16S ribosomal RNA
Rfam family: Bacterial small subunit ribosomal RNA
Source: RNAcentral